This 497-nucleotide ribosomal RNA is filed under the name uncultured bacterium. Its description in RNAcentral is "partial 16S ribosomal RNA". It matches the Rfam family "Bacterial small subunit ribosomal RNA", at positions 28 to 507 of the family's 1533-position model. The record is from RNAcentral.
GAUGAACGCUGGCGGCGUGCCUAAUACAUGCCAGUCGAGCGAACGGACGAGAAGCUUGCUUCUCUGAUGUUAGCGGCGGACGGAUGAGUAACACGUGGAUAACCUACCUAUAAGACUGGGAUAACUUCGGGAAACCGGAGCUAAUACCGGAUAAUAUUUUGAACCGCAUGGUUCAAAAGUGAAAGACGGUCUUGCUGUCACUUAUAGAUGGAUCCGCGCUGCAUUAGCUAGUUGGUAAGGUAACGGCUUACCAAGGCAACGAUGCAUAGCCGACCUGAGAGGGUGAUCGGACACACUGGAACUGAGACACGGUCCAGACUCCUACGGGAGGCAGCAGUAGGGAAUCUUCCGCAAUGGGCGAAAGCCUGACGGAGCAACGCCGCGUGAGUGAUGAAGGUCUUCGGAUCGUAAAACUCUGUUAUUAGGGAAGAACAUAUGUGUAAGUAACUGUGCACAUCUUGACGGUACCUAAUCAGAAAGCCACGGCUAACUACGUG